ACACAUAGAGACACAGCAUCAUGAAGGCAGAGGCUGCCUCGGGACGGCUCUGCCCCAGGGAGCGUGGGGCCAUCUGAGCCAAACAGAAUAGAGGGCUUGGACACAGCCCCGGAUGUGAGUUGAGCUCUGAAUGUCAAGACCAGUCCUGGACCUAUGACCACCCAGCUGGGAGGGAGCUGACAGAUAAGGAAACUGAGGCCCAGAGUGGUGCUGGAGGUCUCUGAGCCAGGAAGUGGCCCGUCGGGACUGGAAUGCAGGGCCCUGAGCCUGACAGCACUCUCCGGGAAGGGGCUAGAGCCCCGAGGGAUGAGCGAAAUGAUCAUGAUCAUCUUUGUCCCAUGCUUGCAAGUUCUAGAACUGCUACAAAGGAGCAGCCACGAGUGUCCCCCGCUCCCAGACCACUCCAAGCUGCUUCUAGAGGGACUGGACAUCCUGGAGCAGAAACAGUCCCAUUUUCCACUGCUUUGGUCAGGGAGUGAGUCCCCUGAUGUCAUCCGAGGAUAUGAGGCAUCGCUAAAUCUGGCCAUCCCCUGAAGCACCCAGCCUCACCGACUUCCUGAAGCGUGGAUGAACGCUGCUGCCACAAAUGUGCUGUGACAACCGCUGACAAGGAGAGUGAGUGAUGUUUGUGCCAUCCUGCUGAGCACGAGGGAGCUGCUUGGGGAAGCCAGGGGCUGGGGCAUCUCAAUAGCACUGAGGGCAGCCUCGGGGGGGCUUCACAGCACACCCACCCCCAGAUCACUGCUGAUUCUGGGGGAUGCAUGACAGAGCUUUCUGACCUUGCACUUCCCUUUGGCUGCUAAACUGAAUGAAGCCUCCUUCUUAGACCCAACCCCCUACUGAGUGUCUCUCUCUUCUGUUCUUUGCCAUCCCUGCCCCCAAACCUGGAAACUUCCUCUGCACCUCCACAUGCAGUUGGUGCCAAAUGUCUCCCACCUACCUGCCUGGGUCUCUGCCCCUCAGCUUCUCACAAGUGGCUGUGUUCUUCCACUCACCUGCUGGGACACACACUGGCUCACCAGCCCCCAUCCUCUCCACACCGUCUCACCUGCCUGGCUCGCCUUCUUCCCCGUCACCUGUAGACAGGUCAUUUCCCAGACAUACCUGCCCUACUCUGACUAGUUGGCAUGGUGAGGCCGUCACUCCCUUCUCUCCAGGGUCCCAUGUGCUCUCCAGGCACAAAUUCACCCAGACAUUUCUUGAUCUAGCUCUGUCCCAGAAAGCGUUACCUUUGCAAUGGCAAAUACCUGUAUUAAUUGCCGUGCAAGUGACACAUACUUAUCAUGUGCUCGCCUGUUCCAGGCACCGAUGGCUGUCUUUUUUAUUUUGUGUCAGGUUCCAGUGAGUGAGUCUGACUUAUGAUUGUAUAGACUUAGCUCACAUCCUCCUUCCUCCACCUUGACAAUUGUGCUAAUGACAAAGUUGUCAUUUACUGAGCACUUGCCAUGUCCCAAUCACUGUGCCAGGAGAUUUACCUGCAUGGGCUCACAAACUCUUUGCAGUAUUCUUGAAAGAGAGGCAAGUAUGUUCCUCUAUUUUGUAGAUGAGAAAACUGGGCUCAGAAAAUGAAGUCAUUUUGCCCCAGGUCACCCAACCAGCGAGUGGCAGAACUAUGUUUAAAAGUCAGGAUUAUCUAUUCCAGAGACCCUGUGCUGCCCACCAUGGCACACUGCUUCUCCAGUCAAGGAAAGGUAGCUUAAAGAUAUCUGCUUUCCAAAAUGCUUGAACAUUUGUUAGAAUAUGGAAGAAGAUAAUAUAUGGUCCUGUCCUUGAAGAAUUGAUACUCUAUUUGGGGAAACAAAGCAGCUGACAUUGCCAGCCAAUAUUUAUUUAAAUUUCAUCUCAGAAAAAUAGCAAAAGAGAUUUUAUUUAACCUUUCAACAGUGAUUAUCUGAUUAUGUCUGUUUGAGUAUUCUGUAGGAUAGACAGCUAAGGCAGUCAUGGACUCAGUGGGAAAAAGUUCAGCAAUCCAUUAUUAAUGUCUGUUUGGGGCGCAGGCAUGGGUAGUGGAGGUAGAUGUGCCACCAAUUUCAUUUUUCCUAUAUAGUAGAAAACACGAGAGUUUCUAAUAAAUUCCUAACUAUAUAAAGCAGACAAGAGAGGAAAGAGAAAGAUACCUGUGUGAUUGGGAGAGGCUGCCUGAGGAAGGUAAGAUAUGACCUGUUUGGGGUCAUUGUACCCCUGGGGCAUGAGGCAUCAUCAAGGCCAGAUUGAAUUUUCUAAGGUAUGAUAAAAAGUUUGGUUCUUCCAUGUGCCUUGGUUCCUCUUCUCUAAAAUGGCUAAUUCUGUCCAAUUAAGAUCUAGAAGGCCCUUUCUGAUGCCAAUGUUUCUAAAUAAAGAUAUCUAAUAAGGGUGGAACACGUCACAGCUCUCAACCUCCUCUCAGACCCCCCAACAAGCCCAUGAUGCAGCCAUUUUAGAGAUGAAAAACUGAGGCCCAGAGAGCUGACACCCAUGUUAGCAGAAGUUAGUGGAACCCAGUUCUGUUAACUCUAACCAUUCUCUAAUCCAAAAGUAUAUUUACAGAUUUUCAAAUAAUUAGGAAAUGUUAGUAAUAUUUAGAAGCUCCUCAGAUGAUUCUAGUUUUCAGCCAUGGUUGAGAAUGUUGCUAAAAAGUAGUGUUAUGGCUGAUUUCCGAGAAGGAAACAGAGGUUCAGAGUGGUUAAGCAACUUGUCCAAAGUCACACAGCCAGAACAUAGUGGAGUGGGAACUCCACUGAGGCAGGCUGACUGCUUAACCCAUGUGUCUGUUGUGCCCCAGGCACUGUCACAUAUUAUUUCAUUUAAUUCUCUCAACAACUUUGUUUUUUUAACUCUGAAAACUAAUCCAGAAAAGUUAAAUAACCAGCCCAAAAUUGCAGAGCUAAUAAAAGGCAGCUAACAGUGUUUUCUAUCUUGAUUCUAUUUGGGUGGACAAGUGUGUGUACUUGUCAAUAGUCAUUUGAUGGGUCACUUAAGAUCUGUACAUCACACUAUAUGUUGAUUUUACUUUUAAAAGGCACAAAUAAACUGCCCUCUGGGUAACAAU
This 3028-nucleotide long non-coding RNA is filed under the name Homo sapiens (human). RNAcentral's name for it is "long independently transcribed non-coding RNA 606 (LINC00606)". The record is from RNAcentral. Lineage: Eukaryota; Metazoa; Chordata; Mammalia; Primates; Hominidae.